UACAGAGGGUGCGAGCGUUGUCCGGAAUCACUGGGCGUAAAGGGCGCGUAGGUGGCGACCCAAGUCUGUGGUGAAAGCUCGACGCUCAACGUCGAGUCGGCCAUAGAUACUGGGUUGCUUGAGCACUGUAGAGGCAGAUGGAAUUCCGGGUGUAGCGGUGGAAUGCGUAGAGAUCCGGAAGAACACCGGUGGCGAAGGCGGUCUGCUGGGCAGUUGCUGGACACUGAGGCG
Molecule: ribosomal RNA, 231 nt
Filed under: uncultured bacterium
Lineage: Bacteria
Description: partial 16S ribosomal RNA
Rfam family: Bacterial small subunit ribosomal RNA
Source: RNAcentral